UUAAUAACGAGAAACACCUUACCAGAUCUCAAGAUCCGGAUGAAUAAGGGAUAAUGUCGUUCCGCCUUCGGCUCAUAAGAAACAGGUGGAUCAUGGUUGUCAUCAGCUGUUGUGGGGAGAUGGGGGAAUUACUCCCACAACGAGCACAACCCUUGUCUAUAGUCACCAGCAGUAGGAGGGGAAUUAAAGGGGGAUUCCCAGGGAUAACCGGGAGAAAGGUGGGGAGGACGCAAAUUCUUCAUGCCCUUUAUGAUAUGGGCCACACACGUGUUCAAAUGUCGUAACAAAGGGAAGCGAAGCCGCGAGGUUGAGCAAAUCCCAAAAAUCACGUCCCAGUUCGGACUGUAGUCUGCAACUCGCCUGCACGAAGCUGGAAUCGCUAGUAAUCGCAU
Molecule: ribosomal RNA, 392 nt
Filed under: uncultured rumen bacterium
Lineage: Bacteria
Description: bacterial SSU rRNA
Rfam family: Bacterial small subunit ribosomal RNA
Source: RNAcentral